RNAcentral lists this long non-coding RNA (1322 nucleotides) under Chinchilla lanigera (long-tailed chinchilla). RNAcentral's name for it is "lncRNA (ENSCLAG00000025275.1)". Lineage: Eukaryota; Metazoa; Chordata; Mammalia; Rodentia; Chinchillidae. The record is from RNAcentral.
CAAAAAGACCAUUCCAAAACAUGGCUAUUUAUGUCAUUAAGGUGGAAUAUGGGAACAUGCUUUCUGUAGAAGACAGCCAGAAGGCAAGAAUUAGUGGAGCUAGGGCAGGAGAGGAGGCAGAGGAGGAUACGUUAGUGUUUAUGCUGCGUAGACACCUCAAAGGGUGCACAGGUGCAGGUAGAGCAAAAGCCACAGGGGUGGUUACCCAGCAGUACAUUUCCUAUGAAUACAGAGUUGGCUAAAAGAUGGUGUUAAUUUUUGCAGGUGUUCUUAAGAAAUAGCUUAAGAAAGUUGGACUUGAGACUGAACAUAAGAUGGAAAUUUAUGUUUAGAAGGAACAGAAGGUUGCACGAUUUUAAUGGCAAAGGAAUAUGGCUAGAGCUUUCAGAAGUAAAGGAAGUCUCAAAUUACACGUUGCAAACCAUCUCCUUGCUGCUUAGGAGAGGAGCACUCGGCGCAUUUACAGUUUGUGGGAGCAUUUUAAGGGCUAUUUACCCUCAGAGCCUCAGCUGGGAGUAUCACUUCCGCCUCUACCUCCCGAGAGGCAGGGCCAGCUGUUCCUCCCCAGUCAUGGUGCUGCCUGCUUCUGAGCAGGGACAGUUCUCAGCGUCUCCUAAACAGGGUCUGUGCUGAACAUGUGACAACUUCUCUUCCAACCCACAAGUAUAGGCAAUAGGCACAUUUUAUGAACAAAGGAAUUAGGAAGCGGUACUUUGUCAAGACUGAGUUCAACAUCAAGAAAAAUAAGUACAAACAGAAGAAGCCCUGAAGCAAGAUACAUAUGCUGAUGGUUGUUGAAGCCGAGAGCUGGGGAGUGGGGGCCCUAGUAUGAUUCUCCCUAAUUCUGCAUGUUUGGAAAUAUCCAUAAAACAAAAUUUUUUAAUGCAAAAACAGAAUUAAUAAAGCUUGGCCAGGAGAAAAGGUAUAUCUUCUUUCUCUAAUCUGCUUUGAAUUACUUGACAGCGUCCCUUCAGAAUAGAAAACACUCCCGAUGGCACACUCUACUCUGGAAGUCCUUCCUUAGCUCCCACUACCUCCCAUGGCCUUAGUGUCUUCAGAUGCCCUCAGCUUUCCUCCUUCUCUUCCACAGGAGCCUGUUCGGGUCCUCAGGAAGAUGUACAAGGAGGUCAUUUCAAAUGUCAUGAAGUAAUCCCCGUGCUCUCUUCGCUGUGACAGUGUGUGCAUUUCUCAGUUACUUUUUCCUGUGUAAAAACGCUUCUCUUACAUGUCGUCUGCACUGCCUCUGCGUUUUCUUAUUAGCUGAAGAAAUGUUCAUCUCUAUUUAGACUCCAGCUCCACAUCUGCUUUAUGCUGCUCCAUCU